This 2519-nucleotide ribosomal RNA is filed under the name Enterococcus faecalis EnGen0087. Its description in RNAcentral is "bacterial LSU rRNA". It matches the Rfam family "Bacterial large subunit ribosomal RNA", at positions 1 to 2534 of the family's 2925-position model. The record is from RNAcentral. Lineage: Bacteria; Bacillati; Bacillota; Bacilli; Lactobacillales; Enterococcaceae.
UUAAGUGAAUAAGGGCGCACGGUGGAUGCCUUGGCACUAGGAGCCGAUGAAGGACGGGACUAACACCGAUAUGCUUUGGGGAGCUGUAAGUAAGCUAUGAUCCAGAGAUUUCCGAAUGGGGGAACCCAAUAUCUUUUAUAGGAUAUUACUUUUCAGUGAAUACAUAGCUGAUUAGAGGUAGACGCAGAGAACUGAAACAUCUUAGUACCUGCAGGAAGAGAAAGAAAAUUCGAUUCCCUGAGUAGCGGCGAGCGAAACGGGAAGAGCCCAAACCAACAAGCUUGCUUGUUGGGGUUGUAGGACUCCAAUAUGGUAGUCUGUUAGUAUAGUUGAAGGAUUUGGAAAAUUCCGCUAAAGAGGGUGAAAGCCCCGUAGACGAAAUGCUGACAACACCUAGGAGGAUCCUGAGUACGGCGGAACACGAGAAAUUCCGUCGGAAUCCGCGGGGACCAUCCCGCAAGGCUAAAUACUCCCUAGUGACCGAUAGUGAACCAGUACCGUGAGGGAAAGGUGAAAAGCACCCCGGAAGGGGAGUGAAAUAGAUCCUGAAACCGUGUGCCUACAACAAGUCAAAGCUCGUUAAUGAGUGAUGGCGUGCCUUUUGUAGAAUGAACCGGCGAGUUACGAUUGCAUGCGAGGUUAAGUCGAAGAGACGGAGCCGCAGCGAAAGCGAGUCUGAAUAGGGCGAAUGAGUAUGUAGUCGUAGACCCGAAACCAUGUGAUCUACCCAUGUCCAGGUUGAAGGUGCGGUAAAACGCACUGGAGGACCGAACCCACGUACGUUGAAAAGUGCGGGGAUGAGGUGUGGGUAGCGGAGAAAUUCCAAACGAACUUGGAGAUAGCUGGUUCUCUCCGAAAUAGCUUUAGGGCUAGCCUCGGAAUUGAGAAUGAUGGAGGUAGAGCACUGUUUGGACUAGGGGCCCAUCUCGGGUUACCGAAUUCAGAUAAACUCCGAAUGCCAUUCAUUUAUAUCCGGGAGUCAGACUGCGAGUGAUAAGAUCCGUAGUCGAAAGGGAAACAGCCCAGACCACCAGCUAAGGUCCCAAAAUAUAUGUUAAGUGGAAAAGGAUGUGGGGUUGCACAGACAACUAGGAUGUUGGCUUAGAAGCAGCCACCAUUUAAAGAGUGCGUAAUAGCUCACUAGUCGAGUGACCCUGCGCCGAAAAUGUACCGGGGCUAAACAUAUUACCGAAGCUGUGGACUACACCAUUAGGUGUAGUGGUAGGAGAGCGUUCUAAGGGCGUUGAAGGUCGAUCGUGAGGACGGCUGGAGCGCUUAGAAGUGAGAAUGCCGGUAUGAGUAGCGAAAGACAGGUGAGAAUCCUGUCCACCGUAUGACUAAGGUUUCCUGGGGAAGGCUCGUCCGCCCAGGGUUAGUCGGGACCUAAGCCGAGGCCGAUAGGCGUAGGCGAUGGACAACAGGUUGAUAUUCCUGUACCAGUUGUUUUUGUUUGAACAAUGGAGGGACGCAGUAGGCUAAGGAAUGCAUGCGAUUGGAAGUGCAUGUCCAAGCAAUGAGUCUUGAGUAGAGUUAAAUGCUUUACUCUUUAAGGACAAGUUGUGACGGGGAGCGAAAUAAUAGUAGCGAAGUUCCUGAUGUCACACUGCCAAGAAAAGCUUCUAGUGAGAAAACAACUGCCCGUACCGUAAACCGACACAGGUAGUCGAGGAGAGUAUCCUAAGGUGAGCGAGCGAACUCUCGUUAAGGAACUCGGCAAAAUGACCCCGUAACUUCGGGAGAAGGGGUGCUGACUUCGGUCAGCCGCAGUGAAUAGGCCCAAGCGACUGUUUAUCAAAAACACAGGUCUCUGCAAAAUCGUAAGAUGAAGUAUAGGGGCUGACGCCUGCCCGGUGCUGGAAGGUUAAGAGGAUGGGUUAGCUUCGGCGAAGCUCAGAAUUGAAGCCCCAGUAAACGGCGGCCGUAACUAUAACGGUCCUAAGGUAGCGAAAUUCCUUGUCGGGUAAGUUCCGACCCGCACGAAAGGCGUAACGAUUUGGGCACUGUCUCAACGAGAGACUCGGUGAAAUUUUAGUACCUGUGAAGAUGCAGGUUACCCGCGACAGGACGGAAAGACCCCAUGGAGCUUUACUGUAGUUUGAUAUUGAGUGUUUGUACCACAUGUACAGGAUAGGUAGGAGCCGAUGAGACCGGAACGCUAGUUUCGGAGGAGGCGCUGGUGGGAUACUACCCUUGUGUUAUGAACCCUCUAACCCGCACCACUAAUCGUGGUGGGAGACAGUGUCAGAUGGGCAGUUUGACUGGGGCGGUCGCCUCCUAAAAGGUAACGGAGGCGCCCAAAGGUUCCCUCAGAAUGGUUGGAAAUCAUUCGAAGAGUGUAAAGGCAGAAGGGAGCUUGACUGCGAGACCUACAAGUCGAGCAGGGACGAAAGUCGGGCUUAGUGAUCCGGUGGUUCCGCAUGGAAGGGCCAUCGCUCAACGGAUAAAAGCUACCCUGGGGAUAACAGGCUUAUCUCCCCCAAGAGUCCACAUCGACGGGGAGGUUUGGCACCUCGAUGUCG